AUUGAACGCUGGCGGCGUGCUUAACACAUGCAAGUCGAGCGGUAGCAGGCGUAGCAAUACGUGCUGACGAGCGGCGAACGGGUGAGUAAUGCUUCGGAAUCUUCCUAGUAGUGGGGAAUAACCUGGGGAAACUCAGGCUAAUACCGCAUACGACCUACGGGUGAAAGCAGGGGAUCGCAAGACCUUGCGCUAUUAGAUGAGCCGAAGUCGGAUUAGCUAGUUGGUGAGGUAAAGGCUCACCAAGGCGACGAUCCGUAGCUGGUCUGAGAGGACGACCAGCCACACUGGGACUGAGACACGGCCCAGACUCCUACGGGAGGCAGCAGUGGGGAAUAUUGGACAAUGGGGGCAACCCUGAUCCAGCGACGCCGCGUGUGUGAAGAAGGCCUGCGGGUUGUAAAGCACUUUUAGUGGGGACAAAAAGCCAAGGGUUAAUACCCUUUGGUCUUGAUUUAACCCAAAGAAAAAGCACCGGCUAACUCUGUGCCAGCCGCCGCAGUAA
Molecule: ribosomal RNA, 502 nt
Filed under: uncultured bacterium
Lineage: Bacteria
Description: partial 16S ribosomal RNA
Rfam family: Bacterial small subunit ribosomal RNA
Source: RNAcentral